Pundamilia nyererei is the source of this 679-nucleotide long non-coding RNA. RefSeq lists it as uncharacterized. The record is from RefSeq and is a predicted model, not a curated record. The transcript is spliced from 3 exons. NCBI's taxonomy places the organism in Eukaryota, Metazoa, Chordata, Actinopteri, Cichliformes, Cichlidae.
UUCACCUGCCAUAGUAUCAGCCACUUUCAAUCCAGGAAGUGAACAGUCAGUUGAGACAUGGAGGCACACUUUCAACCAGAGAAUUAAACUAAACUAGGCUGCUGCUUUCACUCUUAUUAACUAAACAAGUUCCAGAUUAAAAGGCCAUGGAUGUAAAGUUUACUGCCCUGGCUUACUGCCAUCUGGCCCUUUUGUUCAGUGUGGCCCAAACAGAAAAUGGGACUAGCACUCCUCAACCAACCUUUAGCUUAACGACCCUUACGACACUAACUCAGUCUGACUCUACUUCACCAAUCUCAAAUUUGACUGAGGAGACAACACUAUAUACCAGCACACAGUUGGAUAACAAAACUGUCGUUAGCACCACUGCGGCAACAACCGAGAGGACAAGUCACUACCAGACUUCUCAGUCAGCAACCACCUUGACUCCUCUAACAAACAGUACAACUCUGAGGACUACAAGCUCUAGCACUCAAAUGUCAACAUUUACUGCACAAACAACGGCAGCAAUCCAGACCACAGUAGAUAACUCAAGUACACCAAGUACUCCAGUAAUUACAACUGAAAAUGCAACUCAUACUACCAUGAACAGAACCAGACAAGAUGUGGGCCUCAAUGUCUCUGAAAGGAAUAUGACUAUUGUCUUCAGCACUGUACUUGGAGCAUUUGCUGUGUUGUU